UACAGAGGUCUCAAGCGUUGUUCGGAUUCAUUAGGCGUAAAGGGUGUGUAGGUGGCGCGCUAAGUCGGGUGUGAAAUUUCGGAGCUUAACUCCGAAACUGCAUUCGAUACUGGCGUGCUUGAGGACUGGAGAGGAGGCUGGAAUUUACGGUGUAGCAGUGAAAUGCGUUGAUAUCGUUUGGAACACCAAUAGCGUAGGCAGGCUUCUGGGUGCCACCUGACACUGCUAGGACGAAAGCGUGGGGAGCGAAUGGG
This 254-nucleotide ribosomal RNA is filed under the name uncultured prokaryote. Its description in RNAcentral is "partial 16S ribosomal RNA". It matches the Rfam family "Bacterial small subunit ribosomal RNA", at positions 524 to 776 of the family's 1533-position model. The record is from RNAcentral.